This 639-nucleotide long non-coding RNA is filed under the name Helianthus annuus (common sunflower). Its description in RNAcentral is "hypothetical non coding rna". The record is from RNAcentral. Lineage: Eukaryota; Viridiplantae; Streptophyta; Magnoliopsida; Asterales; Asteraceae.
AUGUUACGAACCCAUCAUUGUGGCAUAAAAUGAUGUGGCACCAUCCGUGACGGUGAGUUGAGUUCACGGCGUCUCUUCUGUUUCAGUCUACGGACUUCUGUUAGUCUACGGACUUCUGUUCAGAGGCGUAUGGAUCGAUCCUAGGAAAAAGUAAAUAAAGUCUGAUAUCUGGUGAAUGGUUGGUGUGAUUUACCCACACUCCAUUCAUGUCUGGAUACAUGGGCUAGCUACCCUGUAUCAACCUCUGUAAUAAAACGAAUCUUCUGGACUUCGGGUAAAUCUGUAUAUCACAUUCUGAUAAUAUUUGUUAUACUUAUUUAGUAUAUUUUGAAUUAUGAAAACUUAGCGCUUUUGCUAAAACAAAUGAUUUUUGAAGAACUUAGCCUUCUUCUCAGAUAAAAGAAGCCUUUUGUUUUCCUCUAUCCGCACACUGGGCAAAACUUUCAAAUUUUGCUCAGAUGUACGUUUUUGUGUUUUCCUUCUUUACGUCAGGUUAUCAAGACAAUCUGGGACGGGAUAUAGAAGAGUGCUCGAGUAUAUGAAAAAGACCGUAGAAAUAAUGUACUGGAUUAGAUAUCCUAUUUCCAUUAAGUUGUAAAGCCUUGUAAUACAUUUAAGUAUUAAUGGAAUUAUGUUUUU